RNAcentral lists this ribosomal RNA (513 nucleotides) under uncultured bacterium. Its description in RNAcentral is "partial 16S ribosomal RNA". It matches the Rfam family "Bacterial small subunit ribosomal RNA", at positions 28 to 523 of the family's 1533-position model. The record is from RNAcentral.
GACGAACGCUGGCGGCGUGCCUAAUACAUGCAAGUCGAGCGGACUAAUGGGAGCUUGCUCCCGUUAGUUAGCGGCGGACGGGUGAGUAACACGUGGGCAACCUACCUGUAAGACUGGGAUAACUUCGGGAAACCGGAGCUAAUACCGGAUGACAUAAAGGAACUCCUGUUCCUUUAUUGAAAGAUGGCUUCGGCUAUCACUUACAGAUGGGCCCGCGGCGCAUUAGCUAGUUGGUGAGGUAACGGCUCACCAAGGCGACGAUGCGUAGCCGACCUGAGAGGGUGAGCGGCCACACUGGGACUGAGACACGGCCCAGACUCCUACGGGAGGCAGCAGUAGGGAAUCUUCCGCAAUGGACGAAAGUCUGACGGAGCAACGCCGCGUGAGCGAUGAAGGCCUUCGGGUCGUAAAGCUCUGUUGUUAGGGAAGAAUAAGUGCUAGUUGAAUAAGCUGGCACCUUGACGGUACCUAACCAGAAAGCCACGGCUAACUACGUGCCAGCCGCCGCCGUGA